UGAGUAUGGAUAACCAUUUUGCAGAAUUAGGAAUGUGCAGCUGAAAGUGGUCAAAGACCAAAGGCCAAGACUGAUGUCAGCUUGAAAGAAACUACUCUGUGUAUUGGAUUUGCAAGAUAAAAGAUGAUGAAUUAAAGCACCAGUUUCAAGUCCAAAGAUCAAAAAGCACCAUUUAGGUCAAGGUCAACUCCAAAUAUUGGUUAAAACCUAAUUUGUACCAACAACUGAAUCCAGAAGAGGGCAGUCUUGAUAGGACACCCAUAAAAGAGCUAAACAGGAUUGAUGUGGAAGCCCGGAUGCUUAGCUGUGCCACUGAGUUCAUUUCCUGUGGAUGUUGUGUGCUUGGUGCAUUGCAAUAAGGACAUAUAACCCAUAGAAUUCACUUGAAUAAUAUGGAAAGAGAUUGCUUUGGCAAAACUCAUUUUAUAUAUUUUAGAAUAACUUUGUCAAAGAUCAAGUUUGUUUGGAUGACAUUCUGAUGCAACAACAUAUUUUUAUGCAUAAAAUCUUGUUAUUUACUUGAAUGGUCAAAGGAUCAAGACAGUUGAUAUGAGUUUGAAUGAAGCACAUUUACUUUGGUAUUUGUUAAGUUAAUUGGAAUAUUUUCACUUUGUAUAAUAGGUUGACAAAUGUAGAUUUUAUUCUCAGUCAAGAUUGAUCUUUAAGUUUUACAUCCAAACAAUAAACUCUUUUGUUUUGGACAAAAAAAUUAUUUAAACAUACAGACUGUAUUCUGAAGACAAAUGCAAAGAAACAAUUAUAGAUUGUUAAUUAAGGAUAAAUAACACAAACUUUUUUUCCCCAAAAUUCAGAUAUCUUUGCUAAAUUAGGUGCCUUUCUCACUUUGGAAUUAAUAUUUGUAUAGUUAAACAACUUAAUGUUUGGCCAAGGUACAUUAUUUGGCAAAAAGUGCAAAAAUGCAACUUUACAGUUCAAUAUGUUUUUUUGAUAAGUUUAUAAAAUGUAUUCAGUUUUCUUGCUUCAAAGUUUCUGGGGACAUUUUCAAGAGUCUAUUUUUACAUUCUACUAAAUUAAAAUUUAUUAAUUACAUUUCCAUUGAAAGAAAUAUUGAAAAAAUACCAGUGUAACUCUUCUGUGUGGAAGAUAAGAAAAUUUGUUUGUGGUGUGUAUCUUUAUUAAUGUCAGUUGCUCAAAUUCAAAAGGUCUAGAUUAUAAAAAUGAAAAUAAUGUGGGGCCUUGUAUGUCUGUCCAUUUUUUAAAUUAUACAUGUUUAAGGCCAUAUAAUAUAUAUGAUUCAUAUUUGGUCAGUAUUUGAAAAUUUAUUUGGGGAAUGAAUGAGCAUAAACAUUUUACUAAA
This is a long non-coding RNA of Saccostrea echinata, 1318 nucleotides long. RefSeq lists it as uncharacterized. The record is from RefSeq and is a predicted model, not a curated record. The transcript has 4 exons. Lineage: Eukaryota; Metazoa; Mollusca; Bivalvia; Ostreida; Ostreidae.